AAAUUGAAGAGUUUGAUCAUGGCUCAGAUUGAACGCUGGCGGCAGGCCUAACACAUGCAAGUCGAGCGGUAGCACAGAGAGCUUGCUCUCGGGUGACGAGCGGCGGACGGGUGAGUAAUGUCUGGGAAACUGCCUGAUGGAGGGGGAUAACUACUGGAAACGGUAGCUAAUACCGCAUAACGUCGCAAGACCAAAGUGGGGGACCUUCGGGCCUCAUGCCAUCAGAUGUGCCCAGAUGGGAUUAGCUAGUAGGUGGGGUAAUGGCUCACCUAGGCGACGAUCCCUAGCUGGUCUGAGAGGAUGACCAGCCACACUGGAACUGAGACACGGUCCAGACUCCUACGGGGGCAGCAGUGGGGAAUAUUGCACAAUGGGCGCAAGCCUGAUGCAGCCAUGCCGCGUGUAUGAAGAAGGCCUUCGGGUUGUAAAGUACUUUCAGCGAGGAGGAAGGCGUUAAGGUUAAUAACCUUGGCGAUUGACGUUACUCGCAGAAGAAGCACCGGCUAACUCCGUGCCAGCAGCCGCGGUAAUACGGAGGGUGCAAGCGUUAAUCGGAAUUACUGGGCGUAAAGCGCACGCAGGCGGUCUGUCAAGUCGGAUGUGAAAUCCCCGGGCUCAACCUGGGAACUGCAUUCGAAACUGGCAGGCUAGAGUCUUGUAGAGGGGGGUAGAAUUCCAGGUGUAGCGGUGAAAUGCGUAGAGAUCUGGAGGAAUACCGGUGGCGAAGGCGGCCCCCUGGACAAAGACUGACGCUCAGGUGCGAAAGCGUGGGGAGCAAACAGGAUUAGAUACCCUGGUAGUCCACGCCGUAAACGAUGUCGACUUGGAGGUUGUGCCCUUGAGGCGUGGCUUCCGGAGCUAACGCGUUAAGUCGACCGCCUGGGGAGUACGGCCGCAAGGUUAAAACUCAAAUGAAUUGACGGGGGCCCGCACAAGCGGUGGAGCAUGUGGUUUAAUUCGAUGCAACGCGAAGAACCUUACCUACUCUUGACAUCCAGAGAACUUAGCAGAGAUGCUUUGGUGCCUUCGGGAACUCUGAGACAGGUGCUGCAUGGCUGUCGUCAGCUCGUGUUGUGAAAUGUUGGGUUAAGUCCCGCAACGAGCGCAACCCUUAUCCUUUGUUGCCAGCGGUUAGGCCGGGAACUCAAAGGAGACUGCCAGUGAUAAACUGGAGGAAGGUGGGGAUGACGUCAAGUCAUCAUGGCCCUUACGAGUAGGGCUACACACGUGCUACAAUGGCAUAUACAAAGAGAAGCGACCUCGCGAGAGCAAGCGGACCUCAUAAAGUAUGUCGUAGUCCGGAUUGGAGUCUGCAACUCGACUCCAUGAAGUCGGAAUCGCUAGUAAUCGUAGAUCAGAAUGCUACGGUGAAUACGUUCCCGGGCCUUGUACACACCGCCCGUCACACCAUGGGAGUGGGUUGCAAAAGAAGUAGGUAGCUUAACCUUCGGGGGGGCGCUUACCACUUUGUGAUUCAUGACUGGGGUGAAGUCGUAACAAGGUAACCGUAGGGGAACCUGCGGUUGGAUCACCUCCUUA
This 1539-nucleotide ribosomal RNA is filed under the name Klebsiella aerogenes. RNAcentral's name for it is "bacterial SSU rRNA". It matches the Rfam family "Bacterial small subunit ribosomal RNA". Lineage: Bacteria; Pseudomonadati; Pseudomonadota; Gammaproteobacteria; Enterobacterales; Enterobacteriaceae. The record is from RNAcentral.